AGCAAAUGGUUUGACAGAGCAUUUGUGAAACAAGAAAACUGUGAAGUGAGUUCCUGGUGGAUCCCAAACUAUUCACUUGCCUCUCCCAAGGAAGAAAACUAUGAGCUCCAUUGACUGAUCCCCUUCUCUUUAAUCAUCACUUCAGUUGUCUCUAAUUAUCCUGUUUUGCAUUAUACUUGCCUUGUAAAGCUGUUUUGAAUCAUUUAGCUUAGGAGAAAAUGGGGUUUGAAUCAAAAAUUAUUACCUGCAUAACUACACAAUAUAUUUGAAAUGGAAAAUGAGUGAAACUUCACAUUUUUCAGAGUUGUUAAGCAGAGAAAUAUCCUAUGAGUUAUGAAAUUGUAUUGAGGUGAGAAUGCUAAUGAGGUACUGAGAUGCUGUAUUGUUUGCUAAGGCUGCCUUUACAAAGUACAGGCAUACCUCAUAUUCUCGCACUUUGCUUCGUUGCACUUCACAAAUACUUCAAUUUUCAGAAAUUAAAGUUUUGUGGCAACCUUGUAUGGAGCAAGCCUGUGAGUGCCAUUUUUUCAACAGCAUGUGCUCACUUUUGUAUGUAUGCAUAUUGUUUUUUAGACCUAAUCCUAUCAGACAUUUAAUAGACUACAGUAUAGUGUAAACAGAAUGUUUAUA
This 630-nucleotide long non-coding RNA is filed under the name Homo sapiens (human). Its description in RNAcentral is "HSALNT0173162". Lineage: Eukaryota; Metazoa; Chordata; Mammalia; Primates; Hominidae. The record is from RNAcentral.